CAGGGCAUUGCGGAUUUGUUAGAUGGAUGAGUUCGGCCACGUUUGUUGAUAGCGCCACUUCGACGAGUAGUUGUGCGCUUUAGAUGAUGUGAAAUUGUGUGAGUUGUUCGAUGAGAAAGUUGACGGAGAUUGGUUGUGACCGAAAACCAGUAUUAUAAAGGUCAGAUUUUAAUUCAGUUCAUGAGUUCUUGUUUCUAUUACUCGUUGAUGUAAUCAAUUCAUUUUCAUCGAGUCCAUGCUUUUCUCUGUUCCGAAAAUAGGGAUGUUGUGUUCCAAAAUCUUGACUGUGAUUGUGUUCAAAAAAAGUCGGAAUGUUGAUAAUGGUUUCUCAGUUGGUCAAAAAAUUAUGUAUGAUCGACUUGCUUUCUUCCUUGAUAAAUAUGACCCUCUAUUCGGUAGUCAACUUAUGUUUAUCUUCA
Erythranthe guttata (spotted monkey flower) is the source of this 419-nucleotide non-coding RNA. NCBI's taxonomy places the organism in Eukaryota, Viridiplantae, Streptophyta, Magnoliopsida, Lamiales, Phrymaceae. The record is from RefSeq and is a predicted model, not a curated record.